GGACGUUUUUAAACGAAAUUUUAUAACGAGUAUUUAAAAUGCUGAGAGUUAUAAAUGUCCUAAAUCAGGAAACUGUGCUUUAAUAAAAUAAAGCUUUUUGUGCCGUAAAACGUACAAAAUUUGAAAUUUAGUGAAUUGAAUCAUCUUAGUAACUAAAAAAAAAAUCAACCGAGAGACCGUUAGUAGUGGCGAGCAAAAACGGUUAUAGGCUGUCUUUUUAAAACACACAAAUAAAAAAUAUAUUUUUAAUAAUUAAGUAAGCCAAAGAAGGAGAAAUUUCAAUUUAGCCCUGUAAAAAAUAUCUUGUAUGUUGUAUUUUAAAAAGAUUUAAAAGUAAUAUGGUGCAAGUCGCGCAUUGUAUAAAUAAUGGGGGACCACCCUCAAGUCUAAAAAUUUUGAUGCUUGAUAGUGUACAAGUACUGUAAAGGAAAGGUGAAAUUAUUCUUUAAGAAAUUAAAAUAAUUACUGAAAUUUAAUGCUGACAAUCAGUUGAAGCUUAUAAAAAGUGACAACGUACCUUUUGUAUAAUGGGUCAAUGAGUUUAUUUUAGUGGCGAGCUUAAAUUAACAAAUAUGUAGGCAAAAAGAAAUUGAAUUUUAAAUUGUUAUUAAGUCUCUAAAAUAAGACCCGAAACUAAGUGAUCUAACCAUGAACAGGUUGAAUUUAAAGCGGUAACGCUUAUUGGAGGACCGAACUCGUGUAUGUGGAAAAAUACUGGGAUGAUUUGUGGUUAGGGGUGAAAGGCCAAUCAAACUUAGAGAUAGCUGGUUUUCUGCGAAAUCUAUUUAAGUAGAGCGUCUAAAAACUUUAUUUUGUGGUAGAGCACUCGAUAAAUGAUGGGAGCGUAAAGUUUUACUGAAUUUAAAGAAACUCCGAAUACAGAAUAAAAGAAAUUAAACAGACAGACUUUGAAUGCUAAGAUUCACAGUCAAGAGGGAAACAGCCCAGACUAUUCGUUAAGGUCCUUAAAAAUAAUUAAGUGAAAAAAUGUGUAUAAAAUUUAUGACAAUCGGUAGGUAGGCUUGGAAGCAGCCAUCCUUUAAAGAAAGCGUAACAGCUCACUGGUUUAGAUUUUUUGCAAUGAAAAUGUAAAGGGACUAAAAUUAUUUACCGAAACGAUAGAUUUAAAAAUUUAUUUUUAAAUGGUAGCAGAACGUUCUGUAUAUUGAAGAAGAUUUAUGGUAACAUAAAUUGGAAAUAUCAGAAGUGAAAAUAUUGAUAUGAGUAACGAUAAACUGCGUGUAAAACGUUGUCGCCUUAAGUUUAAGGUUUCCAAAGAAAGGCUAAUCCGCUUUGGGUUAAUCGGUCCCUAAGAACAAAACGAAAGUUGUAGUUGAUUUGAUGGGUAAAUAAUUUUAAAAGAUGUGACAAAAUGUAAAAAUUAUUUUUAUUUUUGGUUUAAAUAAAAGUCUUUGAUCGUUUUCAAGAAAUAGCAUCUUUAAUUUUUAAAAACCGUACUGAAAACCGACACAGGUAAACAAAUUGAGUAAAUUAAGGCGCUUGAGAUAAUUAUGUUGAAGGAACUCGGCAAAAUGACUCUGUAACUUCGGGAGAAGGAGUAGCUUAAUGAGGGAAACCUUUUUAAGCUGUCACAAAAUCGAGGACAGCGACUGGUUAAUAAAACCACAGGUCUCUGCUAAAUUGUAAAAUGAUGUAUAGAGACUGACGCCUGCCCGGUGCUGCAAGUAUAAUAGAAAAAGUUUAGGCUUUGACUAGAAAUCCCAGUAAACGGCGGCUGUAACUCUGACGGUCCAAAGGUAGCGAAAUUCCUUGGCAUUUAAUUGGUGUCCUGCAUGAAUGGCGUAACGACUGUCCUACUGUCUCCAACAUAAUCUCAGUGAAAUUGAAUUCUCCGUGAAGAUGCGGAGUUCCUACGGCUAGACGGAAAGACCCCGUGCACCUUUACUAUAGUUAUGUAUUGUAAUAAAAAAUUUUAUAUGUAGUAUAUAUGGGAAGUUGUCAGUAAGUAUUCACGCCAGUGAAUAACUAAAACAUCAGUGAAAUACCAUUUUUAAAAUUUUUUAUUGCUCAUUUUUUAAGACAUUGCAUAAUGGGUAGUUUGACUGGGGCGGUCGCCUCCCAAAUGGUAACGGAGGCGUACAAAGGUUUCCUCUGAACGGGUAGAAAUCGUAUCUAGAGUGUAAAGGCAUAAGGAAGCUUGACUGUGAGACCUACAAGUCGAACAGGGACGAAAGUCGGUCUUAGUGAUCUGACGGUACUGAGUGGAAAGGCCGUCACUCAACGGAUAAAAGUUACUC
Molecule: ribosomal RNA, 2258 nt
Filed under: Chaetoceros neogracilis
Lineage: Eukaryota; Bacillariophyta; Thalassiosirophyceae; Chaetocerotales; Chaetocerotaceae
Description: partial Bacterial large subunit ribosomal RNA
Rfam family: Bacterial large subunit ribosomal RNA
Source: RNAcentral